UACGUAGGGUGCGAGCGUUACUCGGAAUUACUGGGCGUAAAGAGUGCGUAGGCGGUCCCGCAAGUCCGCUGUGAAAGCCCCGGGCUUAACCUGGGAAUGGCAGUGGAAACUAUGGGACUUGAAUCUGGCAGAGGGGGGUGGAAUGCCACGUGUAGCAGUGAAAUGCGUAGAGAUGUGGCGGAACACCGAUGGCGAAGGCAGCCCCCUGGGCUGAGAUUGACGCUCAGGCACGAAAGCGUGGGGAGCAAACAGG
RNAcentral lists this ribosomal RNA (253 nucleotides) under uncultured bacterium. Its description in RNAcentral is "partial 16S ribosomal RNA". It matches the Rfam family "Bacterial small subunit ribosomal RNA", at positions 524 to 776 of the family's 1533-position model. The record is from RNAcentral.